RNAcentral lists this ribosomal RNA (613 nucleotides) under uncultured marine eukaryote. Its description in RNAcentral is "SSU rRNA". It matches the Rfam family "Eukaryotic small subunit ribosomal RNA", at positions 623 to 1259 of the family's 1831-position model. The record is from RNAcentral.
AAAGCUCGUAGUUGAAUUUCUAGUCAACCGUUAAGUGGCUUCACAGUCUUUAACGAUUGCCUAUCCGACAUUGAACUAUAAUGGUUAUUAAGUUAACCUUAUAGCGAACUGUCAUUUUACUUUGAAAAAAUCAGAGUGUUUCAGGCAGGCAAUUGCCCGAAUAUCUUAGCAUGGAAUAAUGGAAUAGGACUUUGGUUCAUUUGAUUGGUUAUUGAAUCAGAGUAAUGAUUAAUAGGGACAGUUGGGGGCAUUAGUAUUUAAUCGUCAGAGGUGAAAUUCUUGGAUUUAUUAAAGACUAACUUAUGCGAAAGCAUUUGCCAAGGAUGUUUUCAUUAAUCAAGAACGAAAGUUAGGGGAUCAAAGACGAUCAGAUACCGUCCUAGUCUUAACUAUAAACUAUACCGACUCAGGAUUGGCGAUGCCAUAAGCUUCGUCAGCACUGUAUGAGAAAUUAAAGUCUUUGGGUUCUGGGGGGAGUAUGGUCGCAAGGCUGAAACUUAAAGGAAUUGACGGAAGGGCACCACCAGGAGUGGAGCCUGCGGCUUAAUUUGACUCAACACGGGGAAACUUACCAAGGCCAAACAGAGGUGGGAUUGACAGAUUGAGAGCUCUU